This 74-nucleotide transfer RNA is filed under the name Neotoma lepida (desert woodrat). It matches the Rfam family "tRNA". From Rfam's summary of the family: Transfer RNA (tRNA) molecules are approximately 80 nucleotides in length. Their secondary structure includes four short double-helical elements and three loops (D, anti-codon, and T loops). The record is from Rfam by way of RNAcentral. Lineage: Eukaryota; Metazoa; Chordata; Mammalia; Rodentia; Cricetidae.
GGAGAGAUAGCUCAGUAGGUAUGAGUGCUUGCUGCACAAGCAUGAGGUCCUGAGUUCAAAUCCCAGUACCUACC